Molecule: transfer RNA, 54 nt
Filed under: Allodiplogaster sudhausi
Lineage: Eukaryota; Metazoa; Nematoda; Chromadorea; Rhabditida; Diplogasteridae
Description: tRNA-Tyr
Source: RNAcentral
AAAGAUAUAGUUUAAUUAAAAUAUUAGAUUGUAAAUCUAAAGAUUUAAUCUUUG